This 264-nucleotide small nucleolar RNA is filed under the name Leptobrachium leishanense (Leishan spiny toad). The record is from RNAcentral. Lineage: Eukaryota; Metazoa; Chordata; Amphibia; Anura; Megophryidae.
AGUCUGCAGUCUCGUCACGGCCCUGAGCUGCCUGUGUCCAGGGUGAUUGAGACUUGCAGAGAGAACAGUCGCACAGAGGAAGCCGAGAUAUGACUGUGAUAGUAUCAGCAAGUCCAUGUGCUAUAUUCCUCUGACAUUCCCUCUGUUUCCACGGAGAUAAUGACUCUACCCAUGUUAUUAUCAAUCGAGCAACAGAUAGACUAUUGCAGAAUGAUAUUGUUUACAGAAUGAAGUCUUCUUGUAAACACUGACACUGCUACACUU